This 105-nucleotide ribosomal RNA is filed under the name Candidatus Karelsulcia muelleri. The record is from RNAcentral. Lineage: Bacteria; Pseudomonadati; Bacteroidota; Flavobacteriia; Flavobacteriales.
GGCGAUUAUAGCAAUAAGGUUCCACCUCUACCCAUUCCGAACAGAGAAGUUAAACUUAUUAGCGCCGAUGGUACUAGUUGUUCUGGAAGAGUAGGUCAUUGCCCA